UAGUCAGCGCAACGGAUCCCCACGGCCUUUAGUUUCGAUUUUUCUUGAACGUGUAUGAAUUAUUCAGGUUGCUUUCUGAUACUCUUCUAUUUGUUGAGACAGGGAAAUCUACAUGCAAUGGGGAUGGGCAGGAUCGUCCUGGGAGCUUUGGAACAGAUAUGAUAUUACGCCGUCCCAGUGAAUAUCAACGGAUGCUUCGGAUAAUAUAUCGCCUCCAUCUUCAGUGUUGAAGUGUACGCCAAGCAAGAAACCAGCAUCAAAUAGGCUGCUGACGAUGGAUGCGAUAUGCUCCUCCGAAAUGUUGGUGGACUUUUACCGGACUACACGGCGUUAUAUCCCAGGAGGCAAUACUCUUCGAACGUUAACAUUUGUCGAGGGUCUGCUGCCAUACAGUUUCACCGCACCCUCACACAGCCGGGGCAAUCACAGGGAACUUAGUAAUGAAGCUAGUUACGGUUGGCAGUCCCUGUCUUGCUGUUUGUUGAGGCAGUCUCGCUGCCAACCACUGGCCCACUGCCGCUGAUUUUAAUAAUGGUCAUUUGCAACCAGAUCAGAGUAAGCUUCUGCACGCAACUCCUCACAUGGUUUUACCUGCUGUACACACUUGUGGAACUUGGAUUGCUACCGAAGGGUAAAGGUCUAUCACUAAACGAAAAUUUUUCUAGAGAAGAAACAUCUUUAGAUAUUGAAGAAAGCAGUCUUCUGGGAUUUGGCACCGUGUAUAUGU
Molecule: long non-coding RNA, 727 nt
Organism: Cryptotermes secundus
Lineage: Eukaryota; Metazoa; Arthropoda; Insecta; Blattodea; Kalotermitidae
Exons: 3
Source: RefSeq, a predicted model, not a curated record